UGAGACCAAGAGUUGGUUGCUCAACCGAGUGCUACACCCAGGCACCCCUUAGGAUUGUUUUAAAAUAUGCCAUUGGAAUUUUGAGAGAUUGCACUGAUUCUCUUAAGUUGCUUUUAGUGUGAAUAUUUUAAUAUUCUUCCAAUCUGUAAACAUGGAGUAUCUUUCCAUUUAUUUGUCUUCGGUUUCCUUCGUUAAUCUCUGAGAGUUCUCAGCGUACAGGUCUUUCACAUCUUUAAAUUUAUUUCUGGGUAUUUUGUUCUUUCUGAUGCCAUUGUAAAUGGGAUUGUUUUCUUAAUUUCUCUAGUUUCUUUAGUUUGUUGUGCGUGUACAGAAAUGCAAAAGAUUGCUGUAUACUGAUUUUGUGUCCUGUAACUUUACUGAAUUAGUUCCAACAUUUUUUGGUCUUUAGGGUUUUCUAUAUAUGCCAUGUUAUCUGCAAAUACUGACAGCUUUACUUCAAGAUUUACAGCCUUUUCUUUUUCUUGCCUAAUUGCUCUGGCUAGAACUUCUAAUACUGUGUUAAAUAACUUUUAAAAUCUGACAUAAAAAGCAAAGUGGCCUCAAUAAAGAAGUUUAAAUGUUGAACACUGAGUUCCUGGACCAACUCCCUUCUUUUUAUGGAGCCCCCUGUGGGUAAUGGAGGCAUCAGAAACAGUUCGAAGUUACUGCUGUGGAACAGACCUCAAAACUUAAGAGGUUCAAACAGUAAUCAUUUCUCUCAUGGUUUCUAUGGAUUAGGGAUGUAGGAAAGGUUCUCCUUGGCAAUUCUGACUCAGGGUAUCCGAUGCAUUUGCAGUUAACAGUGGCUAGAGCCAGAGUAGCAGGAGGUUAGAACACUGGGGACUGGCCAGGCAUUUCUGCCUGUCAUUUCAGGGUCUGUGUGGGCUGGUUUGGGCUUCAUCACAGAAUGUGGCUUCAGGGUGUUAGUUUUACGUGGUGACACAAGGACUACCAGCCUACACAGCUUGCAUAUUCCAACAAACCAGCUGUAAGCUGUGUUGCCUUUUAUGAUGGAGCUUUUGGAAGUCUCAUAGCCGUACUUUUGUCAUAUUAACCAGUCACACUUUUUGAUCUAGGGAAUAUCAGACUUUACUGAUCUUUUAAAACUGCCACAUCUACCCUCAAGAAGCCCUUCUGGUGUGGGAGGCCAAGACUAGUCCAGAUAACACCACCAAGAGAAUACCAAAAGACCUAAUUACCAUAGGAGAGAUGGCAGAUUCUCCUUGCCAAUACCUACCCUUCUGAGCGGUAUUACAGGAGUUUACAUGAGUCUCCAACUUGGAAAUAUCAGGUAACUAUAAGCAGAUUUGACUUGGCUUUAUUACUUGCUCGAACCAUUGCCUGAAUGGAGCACAGGGUCUUAGUGGUACCUAUUGUGUAGAUCAGUAUGGUCCAGAACUUUGUGAUGAUGGAAAUGUUCUAUGCUGUGAAGUUGGGAUGCUACCUAACCACAUGUGGCCAUUGAGCGUUUGAGAUCUAGGGCUAGAAAUGUACUUUUAUUUAAAUAACCACAGGUGCUUAGUGUAUUGGCCAGUAAGGCCUAGUUGAAGGAUUUGACAAGUGAAAUAGCAGAGUUGCUAGGGCUGGCAUAGACCCCCAUGUGUGCUGUGGGAAUCCAGAGUAAGGGGACUAGCCACACAGUAACACCACCCUGAUUCAGGUUUACUGACUGAAUCUGAAGGAAUAAUAUAUAGCCAGAGAGACCCCUGUUGAAAAAUACUAUCCAAGACCUUAAAGUAGGGGACAGUGGCAAGAGCCAGCUGGGAGAAAAUGUCUGGGUUGGUGAGGGGAUUUCCCAGCUCUAUUAUCUCAGCUGGGCAACGAGAGGUUAAUUUUUAGCCACAGAACCCUACUAUCAAUUGUUGUAACUAACUUGGAGCUCUCUGAGUUCGAGGCAGGGGUGGACAUUCAGUGGCUGUGCCUCUGUGGUCCUAGAAAUGGUAACAGGAAAGUCUUCAUCCCUUAAAAUCUCUCUCCAAGCUGCAGGUCUUGAAAUCAGUAAUGAAGCUUCAUGUUUGUUUGAAACAAAUUUAUUCUCAGAAUAAUGCACAAAAGUAGAGGUUGAGGUUACCUUUGGGAGGCUUUCCCCCCCCCAACUCCUCCCCCUCCUCUCUGGCUGCCAGCAAGAACAGAGCUGAAGGAAACAUGCAAUCACAAACAA
This is a long non-coding RNA of Zalophus californianus (California sea lion), 2161 nucleotides long. RefSeq lists it as uncharacterized. NCBI's taxonomy places the organism in Eukaryota, Metazoa, Chordata, Mammalia, Carnivora, Otariidae. The record is from RefSeq and is a predicted model, not a curated record. The transcript has 2 exons.